UAGGGAAUCUUCCACAAUGGACGCAAGUCUGAUGGAGCAACGCCGCGUGAGUGAAGAAGGUCUUCGGAUCGUAAAACUCUGUUGUUAGAGAAGAACACGAGUGAGAGUAACUGUUCAUUCGAUGACGGUAUCUAACCAGCAAGUCACGGCUAACUACGUGCCAGCAGCCGCGGUAAUACGUAGGUGGCAAGCGUUGUCCGGAUUUAUUGGGCGUAAAGCGAGCGCAGGCGGUUUGAUAAGUCUGAAGUUAAAGGCUGUGGCUCAACCAUAGUUCGCUUUGGAAACUGUCAAACUUGAGUGCAGAAGGGGAGAGUGGAAUUCCAUGUGUAGCGGUGAAAUGCGUAGAUAUAUGGAGGAACACCGGUGGCGAAAGCGGCUCUCUGGUCUGUAACUGACGCUGAGGCUCGAAAGCGUGGGGAGCGAACAGGAUUAGAUACCCUGGUAGUCCACGCCGUAAACGAUGAGUGCUAGGUGUUGGAUCCUUUCCGGGAUUCAGUGCCGCAGCUAACGCAUUAAGCACUCCGCCUGGGGAGUACGACCGCAAGGUUG
Molecule: ribosomal RNA, 549 nt
Filed under: uncultured bacterium
Lineage: Bacteria
Description: bacterial SSU rRNA
Rfam family: Bacterial small subunit ribosomal RNA
Source: RNAcentral